AGCUCUACCUUAGUUUUCUUAUUACACCAAACAAAAUACUAGACUUAAGAGCUAUUCAAAUAAGGUACAGCUUAUUUGAAAAAGGCUACAACCUUCAACACUGGGUUAAUAUUGAUUAUAUCAACAAAGUGGGCCUAAGAGCAGCCAUCUUAUAGAAAGCGUUAAAGCUCAACUAUCUAAUCUCCUAAAUUCCAAAAAUUAUCUUCAACCCUUCAUUACUACUGAACUAUUUUAUACCUUUAUAAAAGUUAUUAUGCUAGAACUAGUAACAAGAAUUAGCCCUUCUCCAAAAUGCACACUUAAGCCAAAAUGGACACCCCAUUGGCAGUUACCGCAAAUGCACCUAUUAUAGUACUCCACAACUAGACAACUCUAUAACCCUUAGCGUUAACCUGACACUAGAGCAUUACAGGAAAGAUUAAAAGAGAAAGAAGGAAUUCGGCAAAUCUCGGUCCCGCCUGUUUACCAAAAACAUCGCCUCUUGGCCAAAUAUAAGAGGUCCAGCCUGCCCACUGACAUAGUUUAACGGCCGCGGUACCCUAACCGUGCGAAGGUAGCAUAAUCACUUGUUCUUUAAAUAAGGACUUGUAUCAACGGCAUCACGAGGACUAUACUGUCUCCUUUCUCCAAUCAGUGAAACUGAUCUCCCCGUGAAGAAGCGGGGAUUAACCUAUAAGACGAGAAGACCCCAUGGAGCUUAAAGCCCACAAACACCUCUACGCACUUAAACCAAUUUAGCCUAAGAGACCUGUAAGCCGGCUUUAGGUUGGGGGGACCGCGGAGAAAAACCUAACCUCCACGACAAACGGGCAAACGCCCUAAUCCAUGAAUUACAAUUCUAAGAAUCAAUAAACUGAUGUUUAAUGACCCGAUUAUUCGAUCAACGAACCAAGUUACCCUGGGGAUAACAGCGCAAUCUACUUCAAGAGCUCAUAUCGACAAGUAGGUUUACGACCUCGAUGUUGGAUCAGGGUAUCCCAGUGGUGCAGCCGCUACUAAAGGUUCGUUUGUUCAACGAUUAAAACCCUACGUGAU
Molecule: ribosomal RNA, 1035 nt
Filed under: Amolops yatseni
Lineage: Eukaryota; Metazoa; Chordata; Amphibia; Anura; Ranidae
Description: partial large subunit ribosomal RNA
Rfam family: Bacterial large subunit ribosomal RNA
Source: RNAcentral